CUGUCUUAAUUAUAAAUAUUAAAUUUAACUUUUAAGUGAAAAGGCUUAAAUAAUAGAAAGGGACGAUAAGACCCUAUAAAACUUGAUAUAAUUUUUAUUAAUUUACAUUUUUAUUAGUUUAGUGAAAAUUAGUUUAAUUUUAUUUUGUUGGGGCGACAUAAAUAUAAUAUAAAUAACUGUUUAUUUUAAAAACAUAAAAUAAGUGAUUUUUUUGAUCCUUAAAUUAAGAUUAUAAGAUAAAGUUACUUUAGGGAUAACAGCGUUAUUUUUUUUGAGAGUUCAAAUCGACAAAAAAGAUUGCGACCUCGAUGUUGAAUUAAAAGUUCUUAAUGGCGUAGCCGUUAUUAAAGAAGGUCUGUUCGACCUGUGAUAUUUUA
This 377-nucleotide ribosomal RNA is filed under the name Spongicola sp. n. LMT-2017. Its description in RNAcentral is "partial 16S ribosomal RNA". The stretch from base 253 to 377 matches the Rfam family "Bacterial large subunit ribosomal RNA", at positions 2473 to 2598 of the family's 2925-position model. Lineage: Eukaryota; Metazoa; Arthropoda; Malacostraca; Decapoda; Spongicolidae. The record is from RNAcentral.